UUAUUUUCCUUAAUUAUAAUUAGUAUGGCAUUUUCAUUGAAAAAAAUGUUCGGAAAAGGUACAUCUAAAUCCGGUGAAAGUAGUCGCCAAAAUCCUAGCCCUCCCCCGGCUCCCCGACCUAGAAAAGAUAAACAUGUUCAAACUAGUAGCCAACCUUGAAAUACUAAUGAAAACUUAGGAAUACUUGAUAGUGAUCACCCGUGUUUUCAAUUUAGCGAUGNN
This 222-nucleotide long non-coding RNA is filed under the name Nicotiana benthamiana. Its description in RNAcentral is "long non-coding RNA (NBEN_LNC028932)". Lineage: Eukaryota; Viridiplantae; Streptophyta; Magnoliopsida; Solanales; Solanaceae. The record is from RNAcentral.